RNAcentral lists this ribosomal RNA (506 nucleotides) under uncultured bacterium. Its description in RNAcentral is "bacterial SSU rRNA". It matches the Rfam family "Bacterial small subunit ribosomal RNA", at positions 410 to 924 of the family's 1533-position model. The record is from RNAcentral.
GACGGCCUUCGGGUUGUAAACCUCUUUUAGUAGGGAAGAAGCGUAACAGUGACGGUACCUGCAGAAAAAGCACCGGCUAACUACGUGCCAGCAGCCGCGGUAAUACGUAGGGUGCAAGCGUUGUCCGGAAUUAUUGGGCGUAAAGAGCUCGUAGGCGGUUUGUCGCGUCUGCUGUGAAAACCCGAGGCUCAACCUCGGGCCUGCAGUGGGUACGGGCAGACUAGAGUGCGGUAGGGGAGAUUGGAAUUCCUGGUGUAGCGGUGGAAUGCGCAGAUAUCAGGAGGAACACCAAUGGCGAAGGCAGAUCUCUGGGCCGUAACUGACGCUGAGGAGCGAAAGCAUGGGGAGCGAACAGGAUUAGAUACCCUGGUAGUCCAUGCCGUAAACGUUGGGAACUAGAUGUGGGGACCAUUCCACGGUCUCCGUGUCGCAGCUAACGCAUUAAGUUCCCCGCCUGGGGAGUACGGCCGCAAGGCUAAAACUCAAAGGAAUUGACGGAAUCACUA